This 340-nucleotide long non-coding RNA is filed under the name Piliocolobus tephrosceles (Ugandan red Colobus). Its description in RNAcentral is "lncRNA (ENSPTEG00000017284.1)". The record is from RNAcentral. Lineage: Eukaryota; Metazoa; Chordata; Mammalia; Primates; Cercopithecidae.
UUAAAUUCAUCACUUUCCAAGACUUUUAUAUUUUCAAGAUAUUCAGUAUUAUCAAUUUUUUUUAACUUUAGCAGCAUUUUCACUACUUAAAGCAUUUUCAACAAUAUGAGCAAAUUCAUCAUCAUCGUCAUCAUUAUCAGGUUCAGUUUGAACACUGGAUUCGUCAGAAGAAAUUUCAAGUUCACUCAAUGAUCUACUAUAUUCUACUCUAAGCAUUAAAAAAAAAUAUUAGAAUAUAUAUGUAAAUAUAUUUAAGUACAUAUAAAUGUUGUUUUUUGAAAAAAAUUGUUAUGCAUGGAGAAAAAAUAAAUACUAAGCAGUAUAAAUAUUUUUACCUUGA